GCCUCUUUAGCACAGUGGUAGUGCAGCUGCUUCGUACGCAGCAGGUCGUCCGUUCGAAUCGGACAAGGGGCUCCA
This 75-nucleotide transfer RNA is filed under the name compost metagenome. Its description in RNAcentral is "tRNA-Thr". It matches the Rfam family "tRNA". From Rfam's summary of the family: Transfer RNA (tRNA) molecules are approximately 80 nucleotides in length. Their secondary structure includes four short double-helical elements and three loops (D, anti-codon, and T loops). Further hydrogen bonds mediate the characteristic L-shaped molecular structure. tRNAs have two regions of fundamental functional importance: the anti-codon, which is responsible for specific mRNA codon recognition, and the 3' end, to which the tRNAs corresponding amino acid is attached (by aminoacyl-tRNA synthetases). tRNAs cope with the degeneracy of the genetic code in two manners: having more than one tRNA (with a specific anti-codon) for a particular amino acid; and 'wobble' base-pairing, i.e. permitting non-standard base-pairing at the 3rd anti-codon position. The record is from RNAcentral.